Molecule: ribosomal RNA, 253 nt
Filed under: uncultured bacterium
Lineage: Bacteria
Description: partial 16S ribosomal RNA
Rfam family: Bacterial small subunit ribosomal RNA
Source: RNAcentral
UACGAAGGGGGCUAGCGUUGCUUGGAAUCACUGGGCGUAAAGGGUGCGUAGGCGGGUCUUUAAGUCAGGGGUGAAAUCCUGGAGCUCAACUCCAGAACUGCCUUUGAUACUGAAGAUCUUGAGUUCGGGAGAGGUGAGUGGAACUGCGAGUGUAGAGGUGAAAUUCGUAGAUAUUCGCAAGAACACCAGUGGCGAAGGCGGCUUACUGGUCCGGUUCUGACGCUGAGGCGCGAAAGCGUGGGGAGCAAACAGG